GCGGAUGUAGCUCAGUGGUAAAGUGUGUGCUUGGUAUGCACAAGGCCCUGGGUUUGAUCCCCAAUACCCCA
This 71-nucleotide transfer RNA is filed under the name Heterocephalus glaber (naked mole-rat). It matches the Rfam family "tRNA". Rfam says of the family: Transfer RNA (tRNA) molecules are approximately 80 nucleotides in length. Lineage: Eukaryota; Metazoa; Chordata; Mammalia; Rodentia; Bathyergidae. The record is from Rfam by way of RNAcentral.